AAACUUCCUGAGAUUUAACUAGUUCUUGACUUAAGAAAGCAAGGUGGGGUGUUGAAUAAAUUCUCAAAUUUAAUGUUGGCUGCAAUGGAGAAAAGCACUUCAAAAAGGUUUUCAAUGAUUAGUGGCUGCACAGUUGGUGCUAGACAAAAAGUUGAUUCUUUCAUGAUUAGUGAUUGCCAAGGAUAAAAAUAGAAUCAAAUAUGGAUGAACAAAAUUUAAAAAUGGGGCUUUUUAUGCUUUCAGGUCUACACCAUGAAUGUUAUUUUUGAAUUGUAUGGUGAAUUAAGUUGAGCAAUUUGAUGCCAAUUUAUAUAAGGAUUCAUAAGUUUUGAAUUGAUGUUUAAAGGUUUUGAUGAAGUGAAAACAAAAUCUAAAUUUUAUUUGAAGUUGUUUUUGAAAUCAAAAGAAGAGUAAAAGUUGGGCAAAGGAGGUGAAAGCUCAUUAUUAAAUUCCUUUGUAUGCCUAAUACUUGUUAAUCCACUUGAUGAUUCCUCCAGGGAAGAUGGGGCUGGAGGGUGCAGGAGACAUCAAUGUCUGGAUUACUUUGACAAAAUUAAAGGGGUAAAAUGUGGAAGCAAACUCUGAUAGGUCUCAUUGAUGCAGCAUAAUAAACAUAGUGAUGAUCAUGGCCUGUUUUCCUUAAGGCGAAAUUUCUUCUCUUGGAAUCAAAAACCAAGACCUAGUAUGUAUGAAUCCUUAAUUGGAAUGUAAAUUAAUGAAGAGGGAAGUGGUUCUUGCUGCAAUAGCUACCACA
RNAcentral lists this unclassified non-coding RNA (754 nucleotides) under Hevea brasiliensis (rubber tree). The record is from RNAcentral. Lineage: Eukaryota; Viridiplantae; Streptophyta; Magnoliopsida; Malpighiales; Euphorbiaceae.